RNAcentral lists this non-coding RNA (30 nucleotides) under Rattus norvegicus (Norway rat). Lineage: Eukaryota; Metazoa; Chordata; Mammalia; Rodentia; Muridae. The record is from RNAcentral.
UUGAAUGCUGGUGUCCAUGGAUCUAGCUCU